AAGNGAAAAUGAAAAAUAGCAGAAGAGGGCUGCCCAGAAAGCUGGUUCAAGAUUCAGAGCACCAACAGAAGCUGGAACAAGAGCAAAACUGAACAAAAUAAGUGAAAAGACGAAAGAAAAUAAGCAAUUACAAAGUGGGAAAUAAGGUUGUUUUUUGGUUGUAGGAUCCUAGAAAAUGUGAAUUGAGAGCGUCUGAAGAAUUAACAUUAUUGAGGUGUUUUAACUUUUUCUUAAAAUUGGAGAGACAUUGGUACGAUAAUGGAGUGGCGAAUGGAAUCUUCAGAGGAAAAGUUGGAGGUUUGUAGUAUAUUACUACAUACUGCCAUUGCCUCGUUUUCUGUAGCUGUGAGGACUAUAAUUGCGGGGUGAAAUAUGAGAGAAUCAAUGUCGG
This 391-nucleotide long non-coding RNA is filed under the name Olea europaea subsp. europaea. The record is from RNAcentral. Lineage: Eukaryota; Viridiplantae; Streptophyta; Magnoliopsida; Lamiales; Oleaceae.